Molecule: small RNA, 420 nt
Filed under: Histoplasma capsulatum var. duboisii H88
Lineage: Eukaryota; Fungi; Ascomycota; Eurotiomycetes; Onygenales; Ajellomycetaceae
Description: Histoplasma capsulatum H88 hypothetical RNA
Source: RNAcentral
CCACCAAAGACUAGAAAGUAUUUAAGCACUGUCUACCUUCCAUGUCUCCAGCUGGCAAUAGGUUAAUACACGCCAUUUAAGGAUUAAUCAAGAUAUGGAGGCCGCUGCCAAACACUUCUUCUCCUCCCCACGGUUCGCCGUAGCCGGCGCCAGCACCGAUCCCAGCAAGUUUGGCUACAAGAUCCUCGCCUGGUACCACCAGCACUCUCUCCCCGUUACCCCUUUGAACCCACGGGCCUCCGAAAUCGCCCUGCCUUCGAAGACAUAUAGCACUCUGCCAUCCCCCUCCGCCCUCCCGGCACCUACCCAGACAUCUCUCUCCAUCGUCACCCCGCCUAAAGUGACGCUUGCGGUCCUUAAGGAGGCCAAGGCCGUGGAUGUCCCCGCCGUGUGGCUGCAGCCGGGCACCUUUGACGACGA